This 784-nucleotide ribosomal RNA is filed under the name uncultured Actinomyces sp. RNAcentral's name for it is "bacterial SSU rRNA". It matches the Rfam family "Bacterial small subunit ribosomal RNA", at positions 66 to 847 of the family's 1533-position model. Lineage: Bacteria; Bacillati; Actinomycetota; Actinomycetes; Actinomycetales; Actinomycetaceae. The record is from RNAcentral.
ACGCUGAAGCCUAGCUUGCUGGGUGGAUGAGUGGCGAACGGGUGAGUAACACGUGAGUAACCUGCCCUCUUCUUUGGGAUAACGCCCGGAAACGGGUGCUAAUACUGGAUAUUCACUGAUCUUCGCAUGGGGGUUGGUGGAAAGGUUUUUUCUGGUGGGGGAUGGGCUCGCGGCCUAUCAGCUUGUUGGUGGGGUGAUGGCCUACCAAGGCUUUGACGGGUAGCCGGCCUGAGAGGGUGACCGGUCACAUUGGGACUGAGAUACGGCCCAGACUCCUACGGGAGGCAGCAGUGGGGAAUAUUGCACAAUGGGCGAAAGCUGAUGCAGCGACGCCGCGUGAGGGAUGGAGGCCUUCGGGUUGUAAACCUCUUUCGCUCAUGGUCAAGCCGCAACUGUGGGUUGUGGUGAGGGUAGUGGGUAAAGAAGCGCCGGCUAACUACGUGCCAACAGCCGCGGUAAUACGUAGGGCGCGAGCGUUGUCCGGAAUUAUUGGGCGUAAAGGGCUUGUAGGCGGUUGGUCGCUUCUGCCGUGAAAUCCUCUGGCUUAACUGGGGGCGUGCGGUGGGUACGGGCUGACUUGAGUGCGGUAGGGGAGACUGGAACUCCUGGUGUAGCGGUGGAAUGCGCAGAUAUCAGGAAGAACACCGGUGGCGAAGGCGGGUCUCUGGGCCGUUACUGACGCUGAGGAGCGAAAGCGUGGGGAGCGAACAGGAUUAGAUACCCUGGUAGUCCACGCUGUAAACGUUGGGCACUAGGUGUGGGGGCCACCCGUGGUUUCUGCGCC